CUUGCUCUUGGAUUAGUGGCGAACGGGUGAGUAACACGUGAGUAACCUGCCCUUGACUCUGGGAUAAGCACUGGAAACGGUGUCUAAUACCGGAUAUGACAGCUGACGGCAUCGUCUGGUUGUGGAAAGAAUUUUGGUCAAGGAUGGACUCGCGGCCUAUCAGCUAGUUGGUGAGGUAACGGCCCACCAAGGCGACGACGGGUAGCCGGCCUGAGAGGGUGACCGGCCACACUGGGACUGAGACACGGCCCAGACUCCUACGGGAGGCAGCAGUGGGGAAUAUUGCACAAUGGGCGAAAGCCUGAUGCAGCAACGCCGCGUGAGGGACGACGGCCUUCGGGUUGUAAACCUCUUUUAGUAGGGAAGAAGCGAAAGUGACGGUACCUGCAGAAAAAGCACCGGCUAACUACGUGCCAGCAGCCGCGGUAAUACGUAGGGUGCAAGCGUUAUCCGGAAUUAUUGGGCGUAAAGAGCUCGUAGGCGGUUUGUCGCGUCUGCCGUGAAAACUGGAGGCUCAACCUCCAGCCUGCGGUGGGUACGGGCAGACUAGAGUGCGGUAGGGGAGAUUGGAAUUCCUGGUGUAGCGGUGGAAUGCGCAGAUAUCAGGAGGAACACCAAUGGCGAAGGCAGAUCUCUGGGCCGUAACUGACGCUGAGGAGCGAAAGCAUGGGGAGCGAACAGGAUUAGAUACCCUGGUAGUCCAUGCCGUAAACGUUGGGAACUAGAUGUAGGGACCAUUCCACGGUUUCUGUGUCGCAGCUAACGCAUUAAGUUCCCCGCCUGGGGAGUACGGCCGCAAGGCUAAAACUCAAAAGAAUUGACGG
RNAcentral lists this ribosomal RNA (824 nucleotides) under uncultured bacterium. Its description in RNAcentral is "bacterial SSU rRNA". It matches the Rfam family "Bacterial small subunit ribosomal RNA", at positions 80 to 916 of the family's 1533-position model. The record is from RNAcentral.